Brassica napus (rape) is the source of this 4853-nucleotide long non-coding RNA. RefSeq lists it as uncharacterized. The record is from RefSeq and is a predicted model, not a curated record. The transcript has 11 exons. NCBI's taxonomy places the organism in Eukaryota, Viridiplantae, Streptophyta, Magnoliopsida, Brassicales, Brassicaceae.
UAAUUGUGUUAAAUAUAAUAGAAAUACUUACUUCAAACUAAAAAUAUAAAAAAAAUCAAAUUUAAAAACUAGUUAUAUAUAAUUAUACAAAAAUUCACAUACAAAUAAAAAUGAUAAAUGUAACAAAUUUAAAUAUAUUAUCCGCGCGUAGCGUGGUGAUAAGAUCUAGUUAUUAUAAAGUUAUGUUCUCUUCGUUGAUUGUGAGUGCGACACCUGUCCCACCAUUUGGAAAUUCUGCUUUUCAUUAACUAAAUCUCACGGACGUCAAAAAGCUCAGGCGGAAACCAAACGCAUCGGAAUCAAAAUUUCAGAGUGUCUCACAAUGAUACGAUUCCGCUUUACCAAUCGUCCCAAUAAGACAUCGAUGAGAUCGAGAACAUGAUGAACAACGGAUUCCAACCAGGCCGUGGAACCGUUUUUCUUCAUUGUGUUCUUGGGGCUUACGCUUUCAUGGUCUGCCUCCGUCAAGAAGUCAACCCUCAUACAAGCCACUGUGUACAAGCAUCUUAUCAAGGGGGGUUCCAUAUAUUCCAUAAGCGGUUUUGAUGUGACUCAGAGCAAUCUGUACGACUCUCCUCUAUCGAUUUGACUCAAUCGUCAAAUUGCGUCUCCACCGUCGAAGUGUGUCUCAUCAGAUUCUUGGAGGCUCUCCUUCUAUAAAAAAUGGGGAAAGAUGGCACGAAAGAUAUGUUUGGAUGAUGUUGAGGUCAAGCUUGGAGAGCUAGAAGCUGAACUUUUUGUAAUCAAGGCUAUUAAUGACAAUCUGUAGCGCCCUUACAAUGAACUUGUGGAGUUUAGGGGUCAUAUAGAGAGUGGAAGAGACCCUGAGAACUACUUGAAGUAUUCGGUUCAAGAUAUCGAGAUAAUCGUUCUUGAUUUCUUUGAAGAAUAUACACACGUCACACCCGCCAAACUUGAGAAGACGAUGAAAGAAGAAGAUUGGAGAGGUAGGAAACAAAGAUUCAGUAGUGCAGAUCAAUGGUGUUGGAGACAUGAACCUUAAAAGUUUGCUGAAAGAUGGGUUCGUGUUCGGACAUGACUUCUUACAAGUUGUAGCUGCUGUCCACAUAGGAUGGAUACUGCUCUUUGUCUUUAUUUGUGGUAUCAAGUUCCUCAACUUUCAAAAGAAGGUGAAGGAGAAGAGAACCUUUGUACCAUAGUCUUUGAAAAUUGUCAAAUAUUUGUAAUUUUUCUUUUAUUAUUAUAUAUUGUUUCUAUUUGGUUAGUAACAACAACAAUAAUAGCAGUUUAUGUUCACAAUAUUAUACUUUUGAUAGGAAAUAAUAUUUUCUCUUUCAAUACUAUGUAUUACGCAUUAUUGGUAUUUAUAUGAAAGUUAUACCUUUUCAUACAACAUGAUAACAUAUUUAUUAAUCUAUCUUUUAUUUUAACAAAAUGUUUAAAAAGGUCAAAUACUUCAUAAAUUAUCAUUUAUAAUUGAUUCAUUUUCAAUUAAAUAAACUUAUUGACAUCAAUAUGUUAACAGAUAACAUUUUUUUACGAAAUUCAUGUAAUAAAAUGUAAAAUACAUAAAUUUCAAAAACAUAUAGAAAUUUCUUAUAAGAACAAAAAAAACUCUAUGUUUGUGUACAUUUCAUGGAAUUUGAUUUCUAUUUUCUGGUUAUAAAACUCAAACAUAGAAAAAUUAACAAAAAAUGAUAUAAAACAACCAAAAACAAUAUUACAGAUAUAACUUAAUAAUACAUAAAUUAUAAAAAUAAUUAUAAAGUUCGGCUGAAAAUCCAACUACAAUGCUAAACAUAUUUUACUGUUGUUCUUUUAAAGCUUUGAUUGUUGAAGUUAAAUGAGGGAUACCCUAAAUAUAUUAAAAAGUGUGAAGACAAUUUUGUCUUUUGCUAUGUUUAGUUAGAAAUAAAAAGUAAUGUACCAAGAGUCAUAACUCAAGUCCUUAGAGCCGGAACCAUGGAAUCAAGAGAAAACACAGCAGUGAGACUCUUUGUUAACCGAUGAGAACAAGAUCAUCAUCCCGCACUCUUUGGCUUGAUGCUUAAUUAUUUUGAUAGCUUUCUUAGGGAAAUGGGAAUACUUAUUACAUAAUGCAUACUUGGAUUUAAUGGCUGAUCAAGUGUUCUUAAUGCUUUUAUUUAAGAUAUGUAAUCUAAUUGCCAGAUAUAAAGAACAUAGCAAAAUUUUGAAUCUUCUAUUCUUGAAUAUUAUAAAAAAAAUUAAAACAUAGAGAACAUAACCAAUCUUCUCAUAUAAAAGCUUUGGGAUCAGUAGCUAAAUCUAAUUGGUCAAAUAUGCCACCUCGGUAAGCAAAACUCUCAACACCCAAUUUCUUCCUCUAUAACUUUCGGGAUCUCCUAUCAAAAUCACUUAAAAUGGUGCAAAUAUUCAAGACAUAAAGUUGUAAGAAAAAACAACCGGUGAAUAUACACACUUUCUACAAUUUUAGUUUAAGAAGAUAGGCUAAAAAGUUCAUAUGAACUCCACUCAACAAGUUCUUAUAUUUAAUCAUCUCUCUAUUAGCCGGUCUGUUUACGUUUUCAAAUAAUACUUAAAUUAUUCAUCUGCACAAGAAAUAUACACACAUUGCAUUUUCUCAAUAAAUAAUAUUUCUUUAGAUACAUUAUAGAAUUCCUAAUGGUAACUAAAUAUGUGACUCUCAAAAGUGUUAUGACUGUUCUAAUAACGUUCUAAUAACGGCUUCCUCAUUUUAAACAAAUCGCAACAUCAUCAAAUGACUAAAUACAAAAUCACUACACCAUUCGAAAACUAUUACAAAUAGAAUUAUGUUAUAUCAUAAUUCUAAGUACUAUUUUUGGGUUAAAACACUAAGUGCUAACUUAAAAUUAGUUUUAAAACAAGAAGAUAAACACUAUUCAACAUAAUAAAAUAGUUUUUGUUAUAACUUUCCGUCCGUAGGGCAGACCGAAUCUAGCAUAUCUUCUAUAUAUAUAAAAGAGGAUUUUAUCCCUCUUCCUUGCGCCACAUGGGAUGUCACGUCGUGUUGACACGUGUCCCGUGGGAUGAUACUCCGCGUUUCAUUUAAAUGUAUCUCAUAAUGGGCUUUCUUUGUAUAUUGUAUGUUGGGCCCUCAUAUUGGUCCCUCUAUCCGGCCGAGACGUUGGGAUUUGCCCUCUAACCCUAAUUGCUCCAUCGAAGAUUUGCAGAUCGUCUAUACCUUCCUGCGGUGGGAGGCGGUAUCGUCAGACUGUGGUCACAAGGUUUUGCAUUUUUUGAGAGGCGCAUGAUGUCAAGAAGGGAGAUAAGCCGAUGGUUUCGGUUGAGGAGAAGGUUGAUUGUUGCUUUCUCGGGAGAUCUCAUGGACAGCUUUAUUCCGACAGAGAUCGAUAUACUGUCUCAGUUCAGACACAUGCAUUUGGUUCCUUUAAUCGGAAAUGACAAAGCAAAAGCUACCGAAAUAUUAGCCAAAGAGAUGAAAGUUUUGACACUUAAGUGUUAAAGUGUGUGCGCGUUUGAUAUCUCCACCGGGGAAAGGAGCUAUAGGGGAUGAUUGUUAAGUGUUGUGGCUUUUGUUUUUUGGUUUUAGAAUAAUAGUUGUAGAUUUUAUUGCUGUAACUGUAGAUUAAUUAUUUCGAGAGCACUAAAUAUAAAGCUCUAGAAAAAUUGAUUUCUAAAGGUAUUUUAUUUCCUAUUUUAGUUUUUAUGGCUGUACCUUAAAAUUUUUCUUAAAGCAUGAUUGCUAAACCAAAGUGGACGUAGAAAAAAAAUGAGUCGUGGAAAGUAUUCACAACACUUACCAAUCACCCCCAUAAUCAAAAUAUGGUGAUACAAAAUCAGCCAGGUACAUGGAUAAUCGUUUCGAAGGUGGAAGAAAAGGCGCAUUGGAUUUCUCUGUAUGGAUUUAGCUGGAGUUGUUGAAGCUGUUUAUGUACUUCGGUGUAGCCUAUUUGGUUUGGUUAUCUGAAUAUGAAGUAUGGUAGGAUUCACUCUUUAACCACUUCAGUUAAAACUACAUAUUUUUAUAAUAGUCUUUGUUCAAACUAUGCGUAGGGAAAGAAGUAAUCAGUUCAUUUUCCAAGCUUAAAUCAAAGGUCAUGUCAACUUUGGCUCAAGAUUGAGCAAGCUCUGAGUUACUACUAAGAGUCCAAGAGUGAUCCAGGCAGAUGUAUUAUCCUAUGAGACCAUUGUCUAUACGUACAUACACAUGGUGAAGACCAAAGGGUUUAGCUUGGAUUUGUGUGGUUGUAAGUCAUUAUUUAUUCAAACUAUGCGUAGAGAAAGAAGUAAUCAGUUCAUUUUCCAAGCUUAAAUCAAAGGUCAUGUCCACUUUGGCUCAAGAUUGAGCAAGCUCUGAGUUACUACUAAGAGUCCAAGAGGUAUCAACGUUGAUAACCACAACAAUUGUUCGCUCUUUAUAAUAUUGAUGGUUCUUUGUUUUCUCAGUGAUCCAGUCAGAUGUAUUAUCCUAUAAGACCAUUUUCUAUACGUACAUACACAUGGUGAAGACCAAAGGGUUUAGCUUGGAUUUGUGUGGUUGUAACCAAAGGGUUUAGCUUGGAUUUGUGUGGUUGUAAGUCAAAGCGCAAACACAACUCAGGUGUCUGAGCCUAAUACUAAUUUUGUUGGCGUCUCUAUUUCUCUCUCAGUUUCAUUGGUUAAAGAAGCUGGUUCAUUGGUUAUUGAAGUUAACAGGAAUAUUUUUGGCUGUCUUCGACAUGGAUUUAAGAUUUGAGAUGGGUGCUCCUUCUCAAAGGACUCGAGUAAAAAGACCAGUAAGACCAACCCAAAAGUUCCAAGAAAUAUAAUGGACCAUGGUUAGAGGGAGCCGUGGUGGUUGAGGAAACCCCUUACCACCAUUUUAGGAAGUUCUCACUACAAGAAAACAGCGGUAUUCUGACGGACAUUCCGACGGAAAAUGAAAUCCU